This is a long non-coding RNA of Callithrix jacchus (white-tufted-ear marmoset), 1013 nucleotides long. RefSeq lists it as uncharacterized. The record is from RefSeq and is a predicted model, not a curated record. NCBI's taxonomy places the organism in Eukaryota, Metazoa, Chordata, Mammalia, Primates, Cebidae.
GCUAGGUCAUAAAAGAUACUGUGGUGUUCAUCUAGUUCUCUCUUAGUUCAUCCACUCUGGGGUAAGCCAGCCAUGAAUAAAUUCAAGUGGCCCGAAGUAGAGGUCCAAGUGGUGAAGAACUGAGGCCUUUUCAAAAGCCAGCACAAAUCUGCAAACCAUUCGAGUGAGUCAGCCUAGAAUUGGAUCCUCCAGCCCAGUCAAGCCUUGAGAUGACUAUAGACCCAGCUAACAACUUGACUGCAACCUCACAAAAUACCAAGCCAGAAUUACCCAGAUGAGGAAACUGAAGCACAAAAACAACUUGCCUGAAGUCACUCAACUAAUUCAUCUUUGCCCAAGAUACAGUCGAAAACAUGUUUUAGAUGAGUCAUUUAACUGGAAUAAUCUUCCUUCGGAUUACUGGAGUCAUUGGGGAAAAAAAUACAAAAUCAUGUCUGAAGAUGGGGAAGUCCAAGAUUGAGGGGCCAGCAUCUUAAAAUGACCUUCUUACUCCAUCAUCCCCUGGCACAAGGCAGAAGAGCAAGAGAGGGCGAGAGAAUGCUGCCACAUGAGGAUGCAAUAUCUAGAGUUACAGUAGACAUCUACAACCAUAAUGAGAAUGAGAAGCCUGAGGACGCAAGCCUCACCCUGAGGAUGAAAGAGUAAAGACAGGCCAGGCACGGUGGUGGCUCACGCCUGUAAUCCUAGCACUUUGGGAGGCCGAGGCAGGCAGAUCACUUGAGGUCAGGAGUUCAAGACCAGCCUGGUCAACAUGGUAAAACCCUGUCUCUACUAAAAACACAAAAAUUAGCCAGGCAUGGUGGUGCAUGCCUAUAAUGCCACAGCUACUCAGGAGGCUGAGGUGGGAGAAUCACUUGAACCCAGGAGGCGGAGGUUGCAGUGAGUGGAGAUCACGCCACUGUACUCCAGUCUCAGCUAAAGAGUAAGAUUCCAUCUCAAAAUAAAAAAGAAGAGAAAGGACAGAAAACUAUUGGAUCUUCAACAGUAUCACAGAGUUGCUAAAAACAAUUUCA